This 253-nucleotide ribosomal RNA is filed under the name uncultured bacterium. RNAcentral's name for it is "partial 16S ribosomal RNA". It matches the Rfam family "Bacterial small subunit ribosomal RNA", at positions 524 to 776 of the family's 1533-position model. The record is from RNAcentral.
UACGAAGGGUGCAAGCGUUACUCGGAAUUACUGGGCGUAAAGCGUGCGUAGGUGGUGAGUUAAGUCUGAUGUGAAAUCCCCGGGCUCAGCCUGGGAAUGGCAUUGGAUACUGGCUCGCUAGAGUGCGGUAGAGGGUGGUGGAAUUCCCGGUGUAGCAGUGAAAUGCGUAGAGAUGCGGAGGAACACCGAUGGCGAAGGCAGCCCCCUGGGCUAGCACUGACGCUCAGGCACGAAAGCAUGGGGAGCGAACAGG